This is a non-coding RNA of Ameiurus melas (black bullhead), 73 nucleotides long. NCBI's taxonomy places the organism in Eukaryota, Metazoa, Chordata, Actinopteri, Siluriformes, Ictaluridae. The record is from the annotation of a GenBank genome assembly.
GGAAUAGUGGCUUAGUGGUUAGCACGUUUGCCUCGCACCUCCAGGGUUGAGGGUUCAAUUCCUGCCUCUGCCC